UGAGGGUUGAUAGGUUAAGAGCUGAUUGACUGGACGUUACCCACAGAAGAAGCACCGGCUAACUCCGUGCCAGCAGCCGCGGUAAUACGAGGGUGCGAGCGUUAAUCGGAAUUACUGGGCGUAAAGAGUGCAUAGGUGGUUAAUUAAGUUAUGUGUAAAAUCCCUGGGCUCAACCUGGGCAGGUCAUAUAAUACUGAUUGACUCGAGUAUGGAGAGGGUAGUGAAUUUCCGGUGUAGCGGUGAAAUGCGUAGAGAUCGAAGAACACCAGUGGCGAAGGCGGCUACCUGGCCUAAUACUGACGCUGAGGCACGAAAGCGUGGGGAGCAAACAGGAUUAGAUACCCUGGUAGUCCACGCCGUAAACGAUGUCAACUAGCUGUUGGUUAUAUAAAUGAGAUUAGUGGCGCAGCAAACGCGAUAAGUUGAC
This 427-nucleotide ribosomal RNA is filed under the name uncultured Legionella sp. Its description in RNAcentral is "bacterial SSU rRNA". It matches the Rfam family "Bacterial small subunit ribosomal RNA", at positions 438 to 869 of the family's 1533-position model. The record is from RNAcentral. Lineage: Bacteria; Pseudomonadati; Pseudomonadota; Gammaproteobacteria; Legionellales; Legionellaceae.